CAUGAAGCUGGAUUCGCUAGUAAUCGCGCAUCAGCCACGGCGCGGUGAAUACGUUCCCGGGCCUUGUACACACCGCCCGUCAAGCCAUGGAAGCCGGGAGUACCUGAAGAUCGUGACCGCGAGGAACGGGCUAGGGUAAUACCGGUAACUGGGGCUAAGUCGUAACAAGGUACC
Molecule: ribosomal RNA, 174 nt
Filed under: uncultured bacterium
Lineage: Bacteria
Description: partial 16S ribosomal RNA
Rfam family: Bacterial small subunit ribosomal RNA
Source: RNAcentral